UUCCCCAACCGUUCGAUUUUCGCUUUAAUUUUCACAAAUCCGACUCACCCUCUCUCUGUAACCUUUAUUUCCCCAUCUCUUCGUUUUUGUUCUUUAUCCUUGCAAAAUGGGUGCGAAAUACGCGAUGAUUUUUUAUUCUUCUCUUCUCUUUUCGACUUCUCUCCAUAAAGGUGAUGGCUUCUAGGGGAGCGAACAUGGUGCUAUCAAGGGUCCAAUAGGAUAAAAACGAAGUUACAAUCAGCACUGGAAACCACGGUUCUGGAGGUAGAAGAAGUGUCGCACCAGCAUGCGGGUCACGCUGCCAUAAAAGGAACCUGCGGGGAAGAGACCCAUUUCAACCUGAAGGUCGUCUCACGCAAGUUCGAUGGCCAGAGUCUUGUGAAACGGCACCGUAUGGUCUACGACUUCCUCCGAUGAGCUUCAAUUUGGAUUGCAUGCUCUCUCUAUCGUGGCCAAAACGCCUUAGGAAACCUCUGCCAAAUGAAGCAAUAUGAAGUUCUUACCUUCCGCGUUUGCUCAUUGAAUUGCACUAUCAUGUCUAAGUUGGCUCAACUUCCUUCUAGAUUUUGUGGUAAAUGAACAAUCAAAGCUCAGCUCUGCAUUUUUCUUUAGAUACUCAACUUUUAAGCUUAGCUGUUGUGAUUAUCUAUCAUGUAUUACCAUUUUGACUUAACAAGAAUGCCAAGGCUACCGAAUUUUUCCUUCAGCUGAACUAUAGUACCCUUUCAAAUUUUUUUUGAAAGCGUUGAGGGAAGGGAGAGCUUAUGAAGAGUGAAUUCUUUCAUUGUUUUAAUUUACUUUCCCAUUUUUUUUUUCAUAUUUGAGAUAUUGUAAUGUAACAUAUGUGCAUAAGCUUUUGUAGUGUAUUUUAAAUUUCUAUCUCUGUCAAUAUUCCUCAAUGACCUUGGUCUUCUAAAUAGCAUUUUCUUCUGGCUUCCCUGAUUUUGGUUUUCCAUUUCUUUGUCUCCCCUUGAAUGCUUUUUUGUGUGAGGUCUUGUGAAUUGUGUCCAUUCCUCAAAGCUUUCAUGAUUUACAUAUAUAUAUAUAUAUAUAUAUAUAAAGGUCUGUUUGGUUCACAAGAGAGAGUGAAAAAGUGAAGGAGCAUUAUAUUAGAGCAGCUUAAUGGUGAAUUAUUUCUUUCAUUUCCUUUCCCACUUGCUUAAACCUCACAAGGGCAAAGUUUUUGUUUGGCUGACAAGAAAAAUUAUGAGAUAAAGAAUCACGUACCCUUUUCACAUUUGCUAAAUCUCAAAUCAGUAAGGGCCUAUUUGGUUCACAAGAACGAAUGAAAAAGAAUAAUGAUAGUGAAACUGGAUCUGAGAACUUGAGAGGGUAAUGUGACCGGGGGAAUUGGGUGAAUACAGAGCUGUGUUUUUUGGAUUGUGUGAUCUGUGGUUAGUUGUUAAUUCAGUUGGCUGUUCUUAUGCUCUAGAGUGAGUUUUAAUAGUGAUUGAAGCUUUUGCUGUCUAUAAGUAGAUUGAAAAAAGAAGAAAAAUAUUAAUAUAGGUAGGAACAUAUACUUAUUUUUGCAUUCAUGUUUCAGUCAAUCAUGGUGGUUGUCUUAUUAAGCAGUAUUUUAACUUUUUGAGUUUGAAAUAAUGGCUGGAACUUCUCCUCCUCUUUCUCUUGCUACUUGUCACCAGUACAAGUCUAAAAAUAGAGUUCAUCCUAAAAGAUUAGUUUAUUGGGUGGAAAAGCCUUUUGAAUUUAUAAACCUCACUUCAUUUAUAAGAGUCUUGACACUAUUUAUUUAUGAAAAUUCUAGUACGAGUUUGCCUAAGUUGUAUUAUUGAGGUAAAAUUAUUGCAUAGAUCCUUGUAGGAAUUCAGAAAUAUUUGCUGAAGUUGGUAAUUUAUCUACCACACAGUAGCCACAUAGGAAAUUUGUUUAUAGAAUUUGAAUUGUUAAGUCGUGUUUUUCUAUCCAUAUCACCACCUUACCUGGCUACAAUUUGCUACAUUUGGUAAAGCUUAAAAUGUUGAGAUUAUUAUGUUAGGUGAAGUGAAACUAUUAAUGUUGAGUCUAUUUCCUUAUCAUGUCCUUCUGUAGAGUCUGUUUUACUGUUCCAACGCUAAACUAAAUAAAUGCAUUGAAUUUAUUGUUUAUUUACAUUGGAAGUUACUCAGUGUCAUUGAUGACUAAUUUAUGUUUUACAAAAAAUAUUAAUUGAAAUCUUAUUUUACUAAAAAUGUUCAUAUUUUUACAUUUAUACCCUUGAAUUUUCCUAGUAACACAUUCAUGUGAUAUUUAAAUAUGUAGCAUUUAUGGAUGAGGAAUUAAAAAAAUAAGGGUAUAAAUGAAAAAAAAAUAAAAUUUAUCAAAUAUCCUAUAUUUUAAAACAAGAUGUGGUUCUAGAAAGUGAUUUAUAUUGUGAUUUAGAGAAAAUAUUUGUUUAAGGACACCCUGAUAUGUGCAAUCAAUAGGAGUAUAAAUUUUGAAACCAAAAAAAGCCUCUCAACUAAUUUCUAUAUUUUGAAUGGAAUGGAUGACGGAGUGUUAUUUCAAAACAAACACGUCUUCACUUUUUCCAUACCAUCAAAAGAACCUUGUCAAGUCGUUAUGGCAUGUGGAGUUAAUUCGUUGGUUUUAGUCAAAACCACAGUUGAUUUUUCUUUAUUUUGGUCAUUUAACAAAAUACUAAACACAUGCAUCAUUUUUGUCUAAGAGCGAUAGGAAAUUCUAUGGGAAGAUUUUGUCCCCUAUUAAUUUAUGGUAUAGCUUAGUAGAUACUCCCUCCAUUCAAAAAUUUAAAUCAUUUUUAAUUGAAUUUUACCCUCUAAUAAAGUAGUUACCUAAUUUUCAACUAAUUCUAUCUUUUUAUAUUUAUCUCUAGUAAACACGUUUUAAUAAAUAUAAUGUCAUUAUCAAUAUGAAUAUUUUUUAAAAAUAAAAAUAAUAAUUAUAUUUCGAAAGACUAAAAGUUUCUUAUAUUUUUUAACAUCCAAUUCCUUAAAAAAUGUCUUACAUUUUUGAACGGAUGGAUUAUGGGGUAUGUUUUUUAUAUAAUUUUAACUCACUCCUAUAUUUGUAUGAUAAUAAUUACUGUCGUUAAUUUUUUAUUUUUUCUAAAAAAUUUAAAUUUGCAGAGAUCGGCAAUUUAAAGUAAGAACAAGGAUGGAACGUCAACACAAGACUUAAUUAACUUCUUUAUAGAUUUUACCAUCUGAUUGUUUUUUACUUAUAACACAACACACUGUACUUUAGAUUUUAACCUUCAUUUAUUAAAUUAAAAUAAGUUCAUAGUUGGUUUCUCAGAGAGAGAGAGAGAGAGAGAGAGAGAGAGAGAGAUUGCUAUAAGCAGCCCAAAUAAUAACCUAAGCUGUUCUUUUAAAAGCUUCAAGAGUUAUUACCCCCAAAAAAAAAAAGCUUCAAGAGUUCCCAACUUUGAUAAACAGGGAACGAAGUUCUCUUGUUUUUUCUUGAUGAGAAUGGUUACUAUAUUUCAUGAGCAGAUCUCAUAAACAUUGUAAGGAAAAGGUUACAAGUAGAUGCAAAUACAUUUUUACAUGAAUCAUUUUUUCUGUACUCAUAGGAUGAAAAUAUUACAAUAUUAUUAUUUGGUUUUUGCAAAAUUUAGACAUAUAUUUAGAAUCUUUUGAAAUAAAAUAUCACCAAAGCUAUAAGUGAGGUGAGUCACAUUCUUUUUCCCUAGGAACAUUUGAUUCUAUUGAUAACAUCUAAUAAGGUAGGUAACUCUGAUAUAUUUGAAUAUUUGAUACAUUUAUUUAUAAAAGAAAAAACUACUGAUGAAUCAUCUCACAGGCACCAAGCUUAUACAAUGUGGAAGUACUAAACAAGGAAAACGCUUAGGACUGAGAUCUCCAUGACUACAAACUUCAAUUACCAUGUUUUUCUCAAUAUUGUAAAGGUAGAAAACAUCAUCCAAAUUCACCAACAGCACCCCAUCCUUGAAGCUUGAAAGACCCACCCAUAAGUUCCCACCUGAAUCUGCUCCUUGCAAAAUGUGUUUCUUCAAUUUGCCAUUGAACUUGGGAUUCUUGCUUCCAAUAUCUCCCAAGGAUUUCAAAACCUUCAGUUUCCAUUUAGUUUUAAUGUAAUCUUCAAGAUACCACACAUAAAUGCCCUGUUUUGAUAUCAUAACAUAGUGAAAAAUCCCUUCCCAUUCCCCAAUACAUGUGACUCUGAAUCCUGAGAAUGAAGUGGGUGGUGGAAUUACCAAACAUGACUCCUUCUCAAGGUCAAAAGUGAGAAUGGGACCAUUAUCAGCCUGCCAAUGUAAGACACCCUUAAUGUAAAUACCUGGGACAUUCUCCAAUACCUCAUGGUUAUAAAUGCACGUCUUGUCUGAUUUUUUCCAUGAUUUAGUUUCUGAUGAGUAUAUUUCAAAAUAAGUACAGUACUGUAUAUUAUGUACACCUCUCCCAUCUUCAUCUUCAACAAUCUCUUGAUCUUGCAUCUCAUAUGCAUCAAUCAAAUCUUGCUUGACUCUUACCAAGUUGAAUUUGGUGGAUAUGUCUAUGGGGUCUUUAUGAGGGUCAAAAGCAAACGCAAAACCAUCAAAUCUGUUAUAAUGAGGACAAUCCAGAGAAAUCCAUUGCCUGUUUGUGGGGUUGCAGAUAUAAAGGGUGGUUGUUGUAGGGGAAGUCAAGAAGCCACAACUGCGACAACAGAUUAGACCAUUGCAUGAAGACAAGACAAUAACAUCUUCAGGAAGGAAGCUGAAGGUAUUGCGUUGAACAGUGGGACUUGGUCUUUCGUUGUGACUAUCAUGAUGGUGAUCAAAAAGAGGAAUGUUUAUGUAACUCUUGCCUUUAAGGUCUUCAUCAGUCCACAUUUUCUCUUGAAAAAUGAACCCUGAUAGGACUAACUCCAUCUUCUCUAGCUGAGCUUUGAUAGAGGAGCGAUUAGCGGAGACAGACUGAUACUAUUUCUCAGAAAUACACUUGAAGCCAAACAAGGUUUUUACUGGAAGAGGGGAUAAAAAAUUCAAGUUCUCAUUGUGCAGUAACUCAUGAAGCUUCCUUUCCUAAAAUUUGUAGAGAGAAUUGUAACAGAUUUAAUUAGUGUCCAUUUUAUACUGCAUGUAAAAUUUGGAGCGGGUUGUUUCAAAAUGCAAAGAGGAAGAUGUUAAA
This is a long non-coding RNA of Prosopis cineraria, 5093 nucleotides long. RefSeq lists it as uncharacterized. Lineage: Eukaryota; Viridiplantae; Streptophyta; Magnoliopsida; Fabales; Fabaceae. The transcript has 2 exons. The record is from RefSeq and is a predicted model, not a curated record.